This 253-nucleotide ribosomal RNA is filed under the name uncultured bacterium. Its description in RNAcentral is "partial 16S ribosomal RNA". It matches the Rfam family "Bacterial small subunit ribosomal RNA", at positions 524 to 776 of the family's 1533-position model. The record is from RNAcentral.
UACGUAGGGUGCGAGCGUUGUCCGGAAUUAUUGGGCGUAAAGAGCUCGUAGGCGGCUUGUCGCGUCGGAUGUGAAAGCCCGGGGCUUAACUCCGGGUCUGCAUUCGAUACGGGCAGGCUAGAGUGUGGUAGGGGAGAUCGGAAUUCCUGGUGUAGCGGUGAAAUGCGCAGAUAUCAGGAGGAACACCGGUGGCGAAGGCGGAUCUCUGGGCCAUUACUGACGCUGAGGAGCGAAAGCGUGGGGAGCGAACAGG